This 746-nucleotide long non-coding RNA is filed under the name Homo sapiens (human). RNAcentral describes it as "HSALNT0334838". Lineage: Eukaryota; Metazoa; Chordata; Mammalia; Primates; Hominidae. The record is from RNAcentral.
UGGCGUGAUCUCGGCUCACUGCAACCUCUGCCUCCCAGGUUCAAGAGAUUCUUCUGCCUCAGCCUCCCAAGUAGCUGGCACUGCAGACACGCACCACCACACCCAGGAUGGUGCUAGCAUAUAUAAGACUGAAACACCAAAGUCCUCCGUGGAAGUUAAUGAAUUUCUGGUUAUGAGUUGGAUUCUUCAGCGGAGUAUUUGAGCCAUGCCUUGAGGCACAUACUUCAAGUUGCUGCAUCCAGUUUUAAACUCCAGAUUGAGCUUUACAUAUUAAAUGUGCACAUUUGUUUUCACAUUUUUGAGCUUUGCCAGUGGCACCCUCUCUAAUUAAUCAUCCCGCGGGCUUAGAAAACUUCUGCCCAAUCCUUUCUGAUUUGUUAAAAGAAAGAGAGAAGGUUUUAGUCUGAAAAAGGCCUUAUCUGAUAAACAUCACAUUAUAUGGAUUUUUACAUUUAAGUACAUUUUCUUUUUAAAUCCGGUGGCUUUCCCAAACUAGAAAGAUGGAGUGUUUGCAUACAUCCACCAACCACCAACAUCAGCAGAAAGAAAGCUUGAUACAGUAAAGGAAAGAAAUGGCAAUUUAACAGUUCUUUUAUUUUCCAUUCAGAUCACAUACACAUUAACCAAAUGAGGCCUCACAGCGUGGAAUCUGAUAUCAUAGCAAUGUUUUCAGGAAGCAAUAAUUGAAUACUCCUCAUUAAAAAGGUUCAUAAAAGAAUCCUAUUAAAACCAAUACGAAUAAUAAA